RNAcentral lists this unclassified non-coding RNA (2253 nucleotides) under Centruroides sculpturatus (bark scorpion). RNAcentral's name for it is "uncharacterized LOC111628818, transcript variant X1". The record is from RNAcentral. Lineage: Eukaryota; Metazoa; Arthropoda; Arachnida; Scorpiones; Buthidae.
AUCUAUAUUUGAUUGUUUCGUGUAAAAUACAUACACGAUAUUUUCUAUCGGUCGGGUGAAUUCAUAAAAUUUGCUUAUUUAAUAUACUAAUUAACGUUUACGUAACUAAACUAUAACACGCAUAUUUAAUAUAACCGAUGACGUCAGGUAAGCGCUCUUAAAAUGGCGUCGGAUAAACGAAAUAUUACGAAAUUCAGUAAAAAUUGCGCUGUCGGUCAAUCGGAAACUUGGUCGGAAAAUACCGGACGAAGGAGAGGGAGGAUUUCUUCUAGUUUUGGGGGUGGCGAGGUAAAGAUGACGUUCGAUUUUAGAAAAUCUCGCUUCUAAACCCUUGUGAAGAAUGGAAACCGAAGGCGGAGGGCGGUAGGGAGAGUCUCGAUCCCAAUCCGUCGUCACUCGGGGGAUAGAAACAUGAAAAAUGCAGAUAUUUAGCCUUAAAAUUCAAAAAGAAUCCGUGACGUCAAUCGCAUUCGAAUUCGUUGCGAGCUUUCUAAUCUCGCAACAAUUGCCGUUUCUAUGGAAACGCGUAUUGUUGCAACACGAUUUUGCGUCACUUUGCACGUUUUUCGCUUGCCGGACGGACGUGUGCGCUCUUUGCUCUUGUUUCUGCUGUGUUUUUUGCCUUUUUUACGUGGUUUUAAGAAGACUUGUGGACGCCGACGUUACACCAAGUAAGAUUUUAAUUAGAAUUUAGCUAGCCGUAAGAUUUUACUUUCGUUUCGUUUAGUCCAUCUUUCGGAGACGACAUCGGCCGACUCGGACUUUGCAUAUUUGCGUUUUUCGUUUGAAUAACCAUCCGAAACGCUUUUAAACCAGCCGCCACAUUGGAAAGCAACCGAAAAGGAUUAAGUAUUUGUUCAUUGGUUUAUUUUCGUAAUUAAUUAAUUUAGAUUAUAUUUUAUAAACACGGUCGAAGAAUAAGGAUUAUUUGCAAAUAUCUUAUUUAUAGAAAUUCAAUUAAAAUUUAGUUAAUGCUAACUCUAAAUACGAAUUGCGUAUCGUAAUUUUAACUAAAAUAUAUACACUCGGAACCGGAUGGACAGAAGGAUAAACGGAGACCGUAUUCUGAAGCAUAACAUGUUCCUUCGACACAUCCGGGACGUCAAAAAUUUCGCCCUUUAACCUCCGACUUCUCCAUUAAAUCUAUGUAUUAGUUACAACGCUUUUCAAUGGCUUACUUUGCGAGAAUUAAAUUGCCUGCAUCUCUGUACCGUUUAAAACACAUCUAAUACACUUAAUAGUUAUCUAUACAGGCUGGACACAAAGAAUUCUUUUCCUUAAGCUGUUUGUCUCUUUCCACAAUGCAGUCUUUUCUGAGUGCAGUCCAUCUUCCACACUUACGUAACCCUCUGCAAAUGCUUUGUGCCACUUAAACGUCGACUCUCGUGCGCAAUUUCUCUCUUAAAUGCCGUCGUUGCGUUUAUGUGACGCACGUUAGGGUAAAUUGCUCUAGAACGAAACACUUGUUACGACUUGGACUUGAGUACGAGUGCCUUUUGCGCAUGGCUAUGUGCGGCGUGUCUACUUUUCUGUCGUACAAAUACAGAUUACACGUAAGAGAGUUUAAUCGUUCCGGGUCGGUCGUCUCUACUGCAAAUGCAGUUCGAACGUUCUAGAAAUUUCCGAUAGGAUCUAACGUGAGCUACACGAAUUCCGAUCCGUCAAUGAAGAGCUGGCGGUUUUGGCGUUGGCUGCGGCCCAAGAAGAUGAAGAAGUGUGAAGGGCGUUCUCCUUCCGCAAUAGAUGAAGAGAGGGUCUUUUCCCCCUUUGAGCGGGGAGAGGAACUCUCUUCCAUCGAUUGCGGAAGGGGUUCUUCCUUCACGGGAUCGCCUUCGGGAAUAGCGGAUGUCGACAGCAUUCUCUGUUCCGCGUUGAACGGAGACGAGACAUUUCGCCAUUCGGACGUGUUCCGAAAGGUGAAAUGUCUCCAUGUUGACGACAUCAUCUUUGACGCACUGGGAGGGGAGGAAUGUUUCGAUCAUUCCUCCCUUUUCCAACGAGUGGGAUCCUCUCGUUCGGUGUGGGCAAAGAUGGAAAGGAAAAAGCGUCGCUUCGUAAGAGAAGUGAACGACUUUUUCCUUUGCUAUUUCUGAAGGAUAUUACUAACCUAGGAUAAGAAGGCAAGAGGUUUUUUUCGUUUGUUUUUUCCUCUUGUCAUACUAACAACAUUUAAAUUUAAGGUUUUAGUUUCAAUUUACUAACGUAGGAUAAGAAGGCAAGAGGUUUUUUUCGUUUGUUUUUUCCUCUUGUCAU